RNAcentral lists this ribosomal RNA (479 nucleotides) under uncultured microorganism. Its description in RNAcentral is "bacterial SSU rRNA". It matches the Rfam family "Bacterial small subunit ribosomal RNA", at positions 9 to 468 of the family's 1533-position model. The record is from RNAcentral.
GAGUUUGAUCUUGGCUCAGGAUGAACGCUGGCGGCGUGCCUAAUACAUGCAAGUCGAGCGAACGGACGAGAAGCUUGCUUCUCUGAUGUUAGCGGCGGACGGGUGAGUAACACGUGGAUAACCUACCUAUAAGACUGGGAUAACUUCGGGAAACCGGAGCUAAUACCGGAUAAUAUUUUGAACCGCAUGGUUCAAAAGUGAAAGACGGUCUUGCUGUCACUUAUAGAUGGAUCCGCGCUGCAUUAGCUAGUUGGUAAGGUAACGGCUUACCAAGGCAACGAUGCAUAGCCGACCUGAGAGGGUGAUCGGCCACACUGGAACUGAGACACGGUCCAGACUCCUACGGGAGGCAGCAGUAGGGAAUCUUCCGCAAUGGGACGAAAGCCUGACGGAGCAACGCCGCGUGAGUGAUGAAGGUCUUCGGAUACGUAAAACUCUGUUAUUAGGGAAGAACAUAUGUGUAAGUAACUGCGCACAUC